GUGCCAGCCGCCGCGGUAAAACGUAGGAGGCGAGCGUUAUCCGGAAUCACUGGGCGUAAAGGGCGUCUAGGCGGAUGGGCAAGCGAGGUGUGAAAGCUCCCGGCUCAACUGGGAGAGUGCGCUUCGAACUGCCCGUCUAGAGGGAAGCAGAAGGGGGUGGAAUUCCCGGUGGAGUGGUGAAAUGCGUAGAGAUCGGGAGGAACACCAGUGGCGAAAGCGGCCCCCUAGGCUUCUUCUGACGCUGAAGCGCGAAAGCGUGGGGAGCAAACGGGAUUAGAUACCCCGGUAGUCCACGCCGUAAACGAUGGUGACUAGGUGUGGGGAGCGUACAGCAUCCUCGUGCCGCAGCCAACGCGAUAAGUCACCCGCCUGGGGAGUACGGCCGCAAGGCUAAA
This 395-nucleotide ribosomal RNA is filed under the name uncultured bacterium. RNAcentral's name for it is "bacterial SSU rRNA". It matches the Rfam family "Bacterial small subunit ribosomal RNA", at positions 505 to 898 of the family's 1533-position model. The record is from RNAcentral.